This 468-nucleotide ribosomal RNA is filed under the name uncultured bacterium. RNAcentral describes it as "partial 16S ribosomal RNA". It matches the Rfam family "Bacterial small subunit ribosomal RNA", at positions 28 to 507 of the family's 1533-position model. The record is from RNAcentral.
GAUGAACGCUGGCGGCGGGCUUAACACAUGCAAGUCGAACGGAAAGGCCAGUGCUGGCACUGGUACUCGAGUGGCGAACGGGGGAGGAACAGGUGGGUGAUCUGCCCUGCACUUCGGGAUAAGCCAGGGAAACUGGGUCUAAUACCGGAUAGGACAAGGGCUUGGAGGGCGUUGUGGAAAGUUUUUGCGGUGGGGGAUGAGCUUGCGGCCUAGCAGCUUGUUGGUGGGGAAAUGGCCUACCAAGGCGUCGACGGGUAGCCGGCCUUAGAGUGUGUAGGGACGGUUCAGGACUCAGAUACGGCCCAGACUGCUACGGAAGGGAGCAGUGGGGCAUAUUGGACCCUGCGAGAAAGCCUGAUUCAGCGAGGCCGCGUGGGUGAUGACGGCCUUCGGGUUGUAAAAUCCUUUCGCUAUGAACGCAGCGUAUUUGUGACGGUACCUGAAGAAGAAGCACCGGCUAACUACGUG